CCUACGGGCGGCAGCAGUAGGGAAUUUUGCGCAAUGGGCGAAAGCCUGACGCAGCAACACCGCGUGAAUGUUAAGCCCUUCGGGGUGUAAAGUUCUGUCAAUAGGGACGAAUUUUGACUGUACCUAUAAAGGAAGCACCGGCUAACUCCGUGCCAGCAGCCGCGGUAAUACGGGGGGUGCAAGCGUUGUCCGGAAUCAUUGGGCGUAAAGCGUUCGUAGGCGGCAAGGUAAGUCUGAUGUUAAAGCCCGGGGCUCAACUCCGGUUCGGCAUUGGAUACUAUCUAGCUAGAAUGUGGUAGAGGUAAAGGGAAUUCCUGGUGUAGCGGUGAAAUGCAUAGAUAUCACACAGAACACCGAUUGCGAAGGCAUCUCACGAAUCCGCGAUUGACGCUGAUGCACGAAAGCGUGGGUAUCAAACAGGAUUAGAUACCCUUGUAGUC
Molecule: ribosomal RNA, 440 nt
Filed under: uncultured bacterium
Lineage: Bacteria
Description: partial 16S ribosomal RNA
Rfam family: Bacterial small subunit ribosomal RNA
Source: RNAcentral